AAAAUAAUCACGUUAAUAUAUUAAUACGUAAAUAUACAAAUAUUUUAAUAAGAAUAAAAAAUACAAAACCCACGUACAAUGUUGAAAAACAAUAUAAAAUAAUUUAUAUUUUGAGUAUUAAACCUAACCACAACAAUAAAAACUCAAAUAUACUUACUAUAUAUAAGAAAACUUGAGCAAACAUUUAAGAAAAUGUAUAUCAUUUCAAUCAUGUCAUGCUAAUAUAAACUUAUAAUCUCUAACAAGACUAAUAACAAUAAAAAAAAUAAAAAAGUUUAGUUAGACAUAUGUGAAGAUGAUAUAAAAAUGUGUGCUCAUUAUAAAAACAUAACAAAAAAGAAAGAUAAUAAUAAAAUAAUAUAUUGUUAGAGAAUGUAUUUGAAAACAAAUAAAAAAACAUAAACAAGUUAGAAAAAUAAACAAACAUCCAACGUUAAGUAAAAUAAACGUAAUAUCCCUCAUCAUUUAAAAUUUUUGAAAAGAAAAAAAUUAUUAUUGUACACAUUACUAGCAAAUGUAAAUCUAAAAAACAAACCACAAAAUCAUACAAAAAAUAAAAAUCUAUAUCACAAAUAAAGUAUAUCCCGCCCGUAGGGCGGACCGACCCUAGUUCUAAAUAUAUAUACGUAUAUGAGAAACAGAGAUAAACCACCUAAAGAAAAAGGAUAAAUAUUUGAUAAUAAAGUGAAUAUGAGCACAUAUUUGUUCAUCGAUAAAUAAAUUAACGUCUGCUCACUAAAACCUUUGUUUUUAGAUUUCGUUGUUGUCUGUAUUUCUCAAGUGGCAUGCAGUGUCAUCCACAUUUCAACACUUUCAGUCAACGUCGCUUCCACUUCCAAACAAUAUAGACAAGUAGAUAAUAACAAGUCAAGCAGCCAACUUGGAAAUUUCCAAUGGCGUUGAGAUAAACAAGUAGAU
Molecule: long non-coding RNA, 918 nt
Filed under: Brassica rapa (field mustard)
Lineage: Eukaryota; Viridiplantae; Streptophyta; Magnoliopsida; Brassicales; Brassicaceae
Description: long non-coding RNA (BRAP_LNC006634)
Source: RNAcentral